Molecule: long non-coding RNA, 1078 nt
Organism: Monodelphis domestica (gray short-tailed opossum)
Lineage: Eukaryota; Metazoa; Chordata; Mammalia; Didelphimorphia; Didelphidae
Source: RefSeq, a predicted model, not a curated record
UCAGCCUUGAGAAGCGUAGGAGGAGAGGUCUGGCCAAACCUCUAUCCUAAGAUAUAUCCAUCUCUUUCCUCUCCUGGUAACUGGAUAUUCCCCCCUCCCAGUUCCCAAACUAAAGGAACAUCUGAAGAAGACAUUUUGAGCCUUUCUCAAAACUUUACCUCACAGCUCCUGGUGCCCUGCAUCUGAACUGUGUCCAGGGGCCAAAGACCAGGAUGUAGCUUAACACAAAAUGUGGGGGAAUACAACCUUUACAAGAAAGGGAACAUGGAGCACUGCAAAACAAUUUAGGGUUGGUGAAAGAGCUGCAACCCAAGGUUUUUCCAGUAAUAUACCAAAAGCAAAAUGUGAUAUUGGAUGGGCAUGAAUAGUAGAUCCAGGGAUAUGCUGGAGCCAGAUCUAAGCAACUUCUUAGAGCAAUUGUUAAAUUUCUAAUAUGAGCAUGUACAUCUCAGAUAACAACAAUCACUAAAAAUCAAGGAUAAUUUUUUUGUUGAUUGUCUAGACUAAAGAAAAUGUUAAUAAUGCAGUUUAAACUAAAAAAAAAAUGUGAUUACAUUUUUUCCCUGAAGGUACUAGUUGUUAAAAUAUUUAUCCAGAGUAAUGUAGCUAGUAAAGAUCUAAGGCUGGAUUUGAAUCCAGGUCUUCCUAACUUCAGGCCCAACACUCUAUCCAUUGAUCCACUAAUUGCUUCUAAUAUAAUUAUGUAGAGCUUUAUGGUUUACAAAGUACUUAGCAUCCAUUUUCUCAUUUCAACUUCACAAGGCCCCUGGUUAGCUCAUUCCAGAAGCAAGUUCCAAAAGGAGGCAGGAGAUCAAAUGAUUACAGCUCUCCAUAAAGAUGUUAAUCUGUGAGAAAUAGGUAUCGUUCGUUCUUCUGACCAGGGGAAAAGAAAAGCACAUGAUGAUACUAAGGAUUUUUGAGGAACAUACUUUAGAAAGUGCACAUUGAACAACUUCAACUAAUGCAAUAAAGCAAGAAGUUGCCAUUAUCAUCUGAAAUUGUAAUUACAUAUCUAGACAUUGGUUUCAAACUAGCCUACUUUUUGAAAAUUUUAUAAUGGACAUCAUGGAAGAGAAUU